CACACACACACACACACACACACAUCUCUCCAUUCUGGUUGUUUUCUAACGUUCGAUCCAACUUGGUAUUUUAUUAGCAGCUGAUACUCCUGGGGUCCACAUGAAGCAGGACAGAACAUUCCUUUGACAAGAACGGCUCAAAGACAAAACUACUAACAUUUUAAAAUAAGGACAAUAUAACUAGGAGGUUCUGUACUGACUAAAUACUGAGAAAAAACCCAUAGAGACCUAAUAUUCUAGGACUGUGUUUAUCGUGUACUAAUUAAUAUUCUAGUACUAUGUUUAUCGUGUACUAAUUAAUAUUCUAGGACUACGUUUAUCGUGUACUAAUUAAUAUUCUAGUACUAUGUUUAUCGUGUACUAAUUAAUAUUCUAGGACUACGUUUAUCGUGUACUAAUUAAUAUUCUAGUACUAUGUUUAUUGUGUACUAAUUAAUAUUCUAGUACUAUGUUUAUUGUGUACUAAUUAAUAUUCUAGGACUACGUUUAUUGUGUACUAAUUAAUAUUCUAGUACUAUGUUUAUUGUGUACUAAUUAAUAUUCUAGGACUACGUUUAUUGUGUACUAAUUCAUAUUCUAGUACUAUGUUUAUUGUGUACUAAUUAAUAGUCUGAGAAGUAGCUGGUGAAACAAGCGAGGCAGUCAUUUGAGAAACCAAGGCUGUUAAGUCUGCCGAUAAGAAUGACAGACAUACCGCUCAGGAAGGAGAUGCGUCCAGAUUGUCUAGCCCGGCUGAUUUGUAGGGGUCCAGGUUGUCUAGUCCAGCUGAUUUGUAGGGGUCCAGGUUGUCUAGUCCAGCUGAUUUGUAGGGGUCCAGGUUGUCUAGUCCAGCUGAUUUGUAGGGGUCCAGGUUGUCUAGUCCAGCUGAUUUGUAGGGGUCCAGGUUGUCUAGUCCAGCUGAGUUGUAGGGGUCCAGGUUGUCUAGUCCAGCUGAUUUGUAGGGGUCCAGAUUGUCUAGUCCAGCUGAUUUGUAGGGGUCCAGGUUGUCUAGUCCAGCUGAUUUGUAGGGGUCCAGGUUGUCUAGUCCAGCUGAUUUGUAGGGGUCCAGAUUUCGCGGCUCUUUCAGAACAUCAGCUGUCUGGAUUUGGGAGAAGGAGAAAUGGGGGAGGCUUGGCAAGUUGCUGUGGGGGGCGCAGGGCUGUUGACCGGGGUAGGGGUAGGGGUAGCCAGGUGGAAAGCAUGGCUAGCCGUAGAAAAAUUCUUAUUGAAAUUCUCAAUUAUAGUGCAUUUAUCGGUGGUGACAGUGUUUCCUAUCCUCAGAGCAGUGGGCAGCUGGGAGGAGGUGCUCUUAUUCUCCAUGGACUUUACAGUGUCGGCCAGGAAUGGCAAAUAGUUUCUACCCCCAGACAAUCAGGCUGCUGAAUAGACACCACUAGUCAGCUGUUUGUACCAUCAGACCAUCAGGCUGCUGAAUAGACACCACUAGUCAGCUGUUUCUACCAUCAGACCAUCAGGCUGCUGAAUAGACACCACUAGUC
Molecule: long non-coding RNA, 1478 nt
Filed under: Salmo salar (Atlantic salmon)
Lineage: Eukaryota; Metazoa; Chordata; Actinopteri; Salmoniformes; Salmonidae
Description: lncRNA (ENSSSAG00000105453.1)
Source: RNAcentral